GAUGAACGCUGGCGGCGUGCCUAAUACAUGCAAGUCGAGCGAACAGACGAGGAGCUUGCUCCUCUGACGUUAGCGGCGGACGGGUGAGUAACACGUGGAUAACCUACCUAUAAGACUGGGAUAACUUCGGGAAACCGGAGCUAAUACCGGAUAAUAUAUUGAAACGCAUGGUUCAAUAGUGAAAGACGGUUUUGCUGUCACUUAUAGAUGGAUCCGCGCCGCAUUAGCUAGUUGGUAAGGUAACGGCUUACCAAGGCAACGAUGCGUAGCCGACCUGAGAGGGGGGACCGCCACACUGGGACUGAGACACCGCCCAGACUCCUUAGGGAGGGCGCAGUGGGGAAUUUUGCCCAAUGGGGGGAAAGCUUGACGGGGCAACCCGCGGGAGGGAAGAAGGGUUUCGGGUUGUAAAACCUUUUUUUUUGGGAAAAAAAAAUUUUGGAUAAAACUAUGGGGGUUUGACGGUACCCGAAUAAAAAGCCCCGGCUAACUACGUG
Molecule: ribosomal RNA, 497 nt
Filed under: uncultured bacterium
Lineage: Bacteria
Description: partial 16S ribosomal RNA
Rfam family: Bacterial small subunit ribosomal RNA
Source: RNAcentral